GGGAUUGUAGCUCAGUGGUAGAGUACUCGCCUAGCAUGUGUGAGGCACUGGGUUCGAUGCUCAGCACCA
RNAcentral lists this transfer RNA (69 nucleotides) under Ictidomys tridecemlineatus (thirteen-lined ground squirrel). Its description in RNAcentral is "Spermophilus tridecemlineatus (thirteen-lined ground squirrel) tRNA". It matches the Rfam family "tRNA". Rfam says of the family: Transfer RNA (tRNA) molecules are approximately 80 nucleotides in length. Their secondary structure includes four short double-helical elements and three loops (D, anti-codon, and T loops). Lineage: Eukaryota; Metazoa; Chordata; Mammalia; Rodentia; Sciuridae. The record is from Rfam by way of RNAcentral.